RNAcentral lists this long non-coding RNA (1683 nucleotides) under Pomacea canaliculata. Its description in RNAcentral is "uncharacterized LOC112562223". The record is from RNAcentral. Lineage: Eukaryota; Metazoa; Mollusca; Gastropoda; Architaenioglossa; Ampullariidae.
GCAAGCAUGUUAGGCCACUUCCGGUUUUGCUGUACUCUUAGCAUUUUUCAAGAAUGAGGGCUCUUACAAAUAAAAAUGAUAAUCGAAUUUGCUGUGUACCUCAAUGUACAGUUAAGGCCUAUAAAUGUCCAACAUUGUCCUUCCAUGAAAUUCCAAAGGAUGAGCAAAUGAAGAAGCUUUGGCCUGUAAGAAUUCGAAGAGACGAAGGACCCCUCUUUCGGAUAAGAAGGUGGACAAAGGUUUGUAGCAGGCACUUUGUGCCAGAAGAUUUUCGCCCUUUACCCGUAAAAGGAAAGCAAGGAGACUAAAGCCAGAUGCUGUACCAAGCUUGUUUACAUGGAACAACUUUCAGCGUGGGAAAGAGAGAAAGCAGCCGGCAGUUCACCAUCUCCUGUCACUAGCAAAUAUCAACACCAAUCAGAGCAAAAGGGGGAUGCAAAGCCCACAACAGCGCCUGCAACAGCAGAGACAGAGUCUGCAACGGCAGCGGCAGAGUCUAACAGCAGACGACCUUUCUGUUGAAGAGCAGCUCUCCUUGGCAAAAGAAGAGAAUAAAGUUCUUCAAGAGAGGAUACGACAAUUAGAACAUCAUUUGCAAAUGGAGAGCAGCAGAAAAAUCAAAAACUUUGGGUUAGAACGUUUUUCACAAGAUGAUGGAAAAAUAGAGUUUUACACAGGAUUUCCAAAUUAUAACACAUUAAAAAUAUUUGACUCCAGCAUUGUGUCCCUUUCUAUCUGAACAGAUUCUUGCUGAGUGAUCUGAAAAAAAAAUUGAACUCCAUAAAGAAUAAAUGCACAUGUGGAUCUUGGGCUAUACCUACCACUUUGGAAGAGAAUAUACAAUAGUAAUUAAAAAGAAAAAAAUUCUUUUAAAGCAGGCUUACAUUCUCCAUUGUUUAUGACACCAUCCUUACCCAUUUAAAUUCAAAUGAUGAUCUUACAAAAUUAUUGUUUAUUAUCAACUUGCAACUUUUUAAAUCCAUGAGUCACAUGAAAAGGACAGCCAAAACUGUGUGCUCUAGUGCAAAAGGGUAUUUGGUUUGUUGUUGAAACUUUCCCUCAAAAGGGUUUCAUCAUAAACUGUAUCUAUGAGUACAUAAAAGAAAACAUGAUAAAUAAAAAUGACUGUAUACAGUUUGAAUGUACUUUCCACUUUAAAAAUAAAGUGUAUCUAAUAAUAAAUAAUGGGUGAUAUUUUGGAAAACAAACUUUGAGCGAGUUGAAAAGGUCCUUCUUUUCUUCUGAUAAAGAAGGAAUUUCUCCUGACAUGACAAUCUGAUUCCUUAGGGGAAGGUCAUUAAAUGCCUCUGCUUCAUUUAUAUUUAUGAAAAAGUUAUCGUGUAUUUUCUGUUGAUGAUCCACCGUACUUCCCCUUCGAUAUUUUCCGUAGUUUGUUUUUUACCUUGGAAGUCUGCUUCUUGCUUAUGGCAAAUGGAAAUAAUCCUGUGGAAUACAAUGUUGUAAUAAUCAUGACUACAUUAAAUUUUAAAAGAUGUUAUUUAUUACUUGAUGAACAAGAAUAAUGUCUUGAAAGCACAGUGGUAUCCACUUGAUAUUUACUGCUCAUUCUACUCCAAAUGGAACAAUCUGCUCUGAAACCAUUUCUUAUGGCAUAUGCAUAUAAAGAAAUUUAUCUUUUGUACGCCCUUUCAAGAAUAAAUAAAUGUUGAAUGUCUCUUUUUU